RNAcentral lists this ribosomal RNA (429 nucleotides) under Pseudomonadota bacterium. RNAcentral describes it as "Proteobacteria bacterium partial 16S ribosomal RNA". It matches the Rfam family "Bacterial small subunit ribosomal RNA", at positions 355 to 776 of the family's 1533-position model. Lineage: Bacteria; Pseudomonadati; Pseudomonadota. The record is from RNAcentral.
UGGGGAAUAUUGGACAAUGGGGGGAACCCUGAUCCAGCCAUGCCGCGUGUGUGAAGAAGGUCUUCGGAUUGUAAAGCACUUUAAGUUGGGAGGAAGGGCAGUAAGCGAAUACCUUGCUGUCUUGACGUUACCGACAGAAUAAGCACCGGCUAACUCUGUGCCAGCAGCCGCGGUAAUACAGAGGGUGCAAGCGUUAAUCGGAAUUACUGGGCGUAAAGCGCGCGUAGGUGGUUCGUUAAGUUGAAUGUGAAAGCCCCGGGCUCAACCUGGGAACUGCAUCCAAAACUGGCGAGCUAGAGUAGGGCAGAGGGUGGUGGAAUUUCCUGUGUAGCGGUGAAAUGCGUAGAUAUAGGAAGGAACACCAGUGGCGAAGGCGACCACCUGGGCUCAUACUGACACUGAGGUGCGAAAGCGUGGGGAGCAAACAGG